UGCAGCUCUAAAUGGGAGGUAAAUUUCUUCUAAAGCUAAAUACUGGCCAGAGACCGAUAGCGCACAAGUAGAGUGAUCGAAAGAUGAAAAGCACUUUGGAAAGAGAGUUAAAAAGCACGUGAAAUUGUUGAAAGGGAAGCGCUUGCAGCCAGACUUGCCUGUAGUUGCUCAUCCGGGUUUCUACCCGGUGCACUCUUCUAUAGGCAGGCCAGCAUCAGUUUGGGCGGUUGGAUAAAGGUCUCUGUCAUGUACCUCCUUUCGGGGAGAACUUAUAGGGGAGACGACAUGCAACCAGCCCGGACUGAGGUCCGCGCAUCUGCUAGGAUGCUGGCGUAAUGGCUGUAAGCGGCCCGUCUUGAAACACGGACCAAGGAGUCUAACAUCUAUGCGAGUGUUUGGGUGUCAAGCCCGAGCGCGUAAUGAAAGUGAACGGAGGUGGGAACCUUUCGGGGUGCACCAUCGACCGAUCCUGAUGUCUUCGGAUGGAUUUGAGUAAGAGCAUAGCUGUUGGGACCCGAAAGAUGGUGAACUAUGCUUGAAUAGGGUGAAGCCAGAGGAAACUCUGGUGGAGGCUCGCAGCGGUUCUGACGUGCAAAUCGAUCGUCAAAUUUGGGCAUAGGGGCGAAAGACUAAUCGAACUAUCUAGUAGCUGGUUCCUGCCGAAGUUUCCCUCAGGAUAGCAGUAACGUUUUCAGUUUUAUGAGGUAAAGCGAAUGAUUAGAGGCAUGGGGGUUGAAACAACCUUCACCUAUUCUCAAACUUUAAAUAUGUAAGAAGUCCUUGUUACUUGAUUGAACGUGGACAGUUGAAUGUAUCGUUACUAGUGGGCCAUUUUUGGUAAGCAGAACUGGCGAUGCGGGAUGAACCGAACGCGGGGUUAAGGUGCCAGAAUGCA
This 895-nucleotide ribosomal RNA is filed under the name Leptosphaerulina americana. Its description in RNAcentral is "partial large subunit ribosomal RNA". It matches the Rfam family "Eukaryotic large subunit ribosomal RNA", at positions 281 to 1197 of the family's 3401-position model. Lineage: Eukaryota; Fungi; Ascomycota; Dothideomycetes; Pleosporales; Didymellaceae. The record is from RNAcentral.